This 304-nucleotide ribosomal RNA is filed under the name uncultured bacterium. RNAcentral's name for it is "partial 16S ribosomal RNA". It matches the Rfam family "Bacterial small subunit ribosomal RNA", at positions 509 to 807 of the family's 1533-position model. The record is from RNAcentral.
CAGCAGUCGCCGCGGGAAUACAGAGGGUGCGAGCGUUAAUCGGAUUUACUGGGCGUAAAGCGUGCGUAGGCGGCUUCUUAAGUCGGAUGUGAAAUCCCUGAGCUUAACUUAGGAAUUGCAUUCGAUACUGGGAAGCUAGAGUAUGGGAGAGGAUGGUAGAAUUCCAGGUGUAGCGGUGAAAUGCGUAGAGAUCUGGAGGAAUACCGAUGGCGAAGGCAGCCAUCUGGCCUAAUACUGACGCUGAGGUACGAAAGCAUGGGGAGCAAACAGGAUUAGAUACCCCCGUAGUCCCUGUCUCUUAUAC